Molecule: transfer RNA, 69 nt
Filed under: Cirrhitichthys aprinus (spotted hawkfish)
Lineage: Eukaryota; Metazoa; Chordata; Actinopteri; Centrarchiformes; Cirrhitidae
Description: tRNA-Phe
Source: RNAcentral
GCUAGCGUAGCUUAAAUCAAAGCAUAAUGCUGAAGACGUUAAGAUGGCCCCUAGAAAGGCCCGUUAGCA